Molecule: ribosomal RNA, 564 nt
Filed under: uncultured cyanobacterium
Lineage: Bacteria; Bacillati; Cyanobacteriota
Description: bacterial SSU rRNA
Rfam family: Bacterial small subunit ribosomal RNA
Source: RNAcentral
CCUACGGGAGGCAGCAGUGGGGAAUUUUCCGCAAUGGGCGAAAGCCUGACGGAGCAACGCCGCGUGAGGGAUGAAGGCCUCUGGGCUGUAAACCUCUUUUAUCAAGGAAGAAGAUCUGACGGUACUUGAUGAAUAAGCCACGGCUAAUUCCGUGCCAGCAGCCGCGGUAAUACGGGAGUGGCAAGCGUUAUCCGGAAUUAUUGGGCGUAAAGCGUCCGCAGGCGGUCUGUCAAGUCUGCUGUUAAAGCGUGGGGCUUAACUCCAUUUCGGCAGUGGAAACUGACAGACUAGAGUGUGGUAGGGGCAGAGGGAAUUCCCGGUGUAGCGGUGAAAUGCGUAGAUAUCGGGAAGAACACCAGUGGCGAAGGCGCUCUGCUGGGCCAUAACUGACGCUCAUGGACGAAAGCCAGGGGAGCGAAAGGGAUUAGAUACCCCUGUAGUCCUGGCCGUAAACGAUGAACACUAGGUGUCGGGGGAAUCGACCCCCUCGGUGUCGUAGCCAACGCGUUAAGUGUUCCGCCUGGGGAGUACGCACGCAAGUGUGAAACUCAAAGGAAUUGACGG